Apis cerana (Asiatic honeybee) is the source of this 1464-nucleotide long non-coding RNA. RefSeq lists it as uncharacterized. The record is from RefSeq and is a predicted model, not a curated record. Lineage: Eukaryota; Metazoa; Arthropoda; Insecta; Hymenoptera; Apidae.
GGAAAUUUUACUUUAACAUUAUUAAUGAAUAAUUCGAAAGAUAAUAAAAAUAGGAAAAAUUUAAAUAUUUAAAUAUUUUUGAAUCAAAAUAAAGCACAAUAUAAUCUAUUGAAAAUCAUGAAAAUCUUUGAAGUUUCUGGUUAGGCACACCAAAAUGGAUCAUGCUACUGAGUAUUUACCAAUGGAAACGUACAAUCGAAUUAUUAAAAAAAGAGAUUAUAUAUUUAAGCGAUUCUGUCGCCCUUUUAUUGCAACUAAUAAUUCUAUUUGCGAGAAUUGGUCUAGUGAAUCUUUUUUUAUACUGUUUUUUUAAUGUAUUUAUUUUUAUUUGAAAACAUCCAAAGGUAAAAAAAAAAAAAAAUACAAAAUAAUGAUGGAUAUAAACUGCAAACAAAUUGAACAAGGAAUUUGGUAAAAAAUCACGCAUGGAAAACUACAAAAGAUUCGGGGGAACGCAUUCAUGCUCGCUUAAUGUCAGAAACAUAAAGGCAGGGACGUUGAUUAAUGUUUUGUGAUAGAAUUUGCUGGAAUUCAUUACUUUUUAUUGAGAGCAUCAUAGUGCGACUCUUUUAUUGGUAUAACGAAGUCAAAACGACUACGGCAUCGGGCACGUUUCAUGAUAUAACAUUGACGUGAUAAUAUUAUGCGAGUUUGAUGAAAUUAAAGUAGUACGAGCGUCUUAAACUAAAUUUUUCGAUAUUUGUUCAUUUGUAUAAAAAAAAAAAAUUAACUUAAGAUAGAAGUAUAUCUCAAUUCAUUUUAAUAGUUUCAUAAACUUUUGGCUUUAUGGAUUUGUUUAUCUUGACCCCAGAAAUUUCCAUUUAAGAAUAUAUAUAGAUGAGGAUUUAAAAGAUUAAGUUUGCAGUACUUACCUGAUUGAAAAACUACAUUAACAAAGAAAUUAUUACUUUGAGGAAACAAUUAUUUAUGAUUUAUCUAUGGACGUAUUAUAAUACAAAAGAAUUUUUAUAUUAGUAUAUUUUUCCUGUAUCUAUGGAAAUGCUUAGGAUAAUAAAUGUAUUGGUCAACUUUAGAAUACCGUUAGAUUAAGUAUUUCCAAUAAUAUGGUUAAAAUAAUGAAAAUAUAUUAUAGGAAAUAUUUCGGUCCUCGACCUCUUAAGGACUAUACACUGUGAUUCAUCGGUUAACGAAUGCAAUUUCGUUGUGUGAUCAUGAUUCUUCAGUUGAUAUAAUAAACAAGUUUGUAUCAUCUGGUUUAGAAAUAUGCAUGCUGAAACGACGAUUAAAAUAAUAUCUAGCAUUUAUGCAUAUGUUGUUAUAAACCCAUGAAGAAAAAAGAUAUAAUAUAAAAAUUGAAAUAAUUCUAAGUUGAAUUGUUACAAAGAAAAAUUGUUACAUUUAAAAUAAAAAUCGCAUACUGCAAACAGAAUAAAAUUUAAAAAAAUAUAUUUAAAAAUCAAUCUAAUCUUUUCAUUGAUAAAUUACGAUAAUUGUAAGUUGUUA